This 200-nucleotide long non-coding RNA is filed under the name Nicotiana benthamiana. RNAcentral's name for it is "long non-coding RNA (NBEN_LNC023799)". The record is from RNAcentral. Lineage: Eukaryota; Viridiplantae; Streptophyta; Magnoliopsida; Solanales; Solanaceae.
GAAAGAAGCUUUAUUGCCUUUUAAAAGAGCUAUACAAUGCUGAAAUUACAAAGGUGAAUGGAUUGGAAUGGAUGAUUUUCGGAAUGGCUAAGUGCUGCUAUUUAUACAAGUCCUACUAUAUACAAGAGGGGCAGCUGAACAGGUUGGCUGGCUGCUUGGGCAGACAAGGCAUGCUGGUGCAUUGACUGCUUGUGUUGGAA